AUUUAAGUAGUUUAUAAAAAAUUUUAAUUUGUGGAGUUAAAGAUAUGAGAAAUCAUCUUAAAUA
RNAcentral lists this transfer RNA (64 nucleotides) under Pachyrhinus yasumatsui. Its description in RNAcentral is "tRNA-His". Lineage: Eukaryota; Metazoa; Arthropoda; Insecta; Coleoptera; Curculionidae. The record is from RNAcentral.